This 593-nucleotide ribosomal RNA is filed under the name uncultured Streptococcus sp. RNAcentral's name for it is "bacterial SSU rRNA". It matches the Rfam family "Bacterial small subunit ribosomal RNA", at positions 28 to 606 of the family's 1533-position model. The record is from RNAcentral. Lineage: Bacteria; Bacillati; Bacillota; Bacilli; Lactobacillales; Streptococcaceae.
GACGAACGCUGGCGGCGUGCCUAAUACAUGCAAGUAGAACGCUGAAGGAGGAGCUUGCUUCUCUGGAUGAGUUGCGAACGGGUGAGUAACGCGUAGGUAACCUGCCUGGUAGCGGGGGAUAACUAUUGGAAACGAUAGCUAAUACCGCAUAAGAGUGGAUGUUGCAUGACAUUUGCUUAAAAGGUGCACUUGCAUCACUACCAGAUGGACCUGCGUUGUAUUAGCUAGUUGGUGGGGUAAGGGCUCACCAAGGCGACGAUACAUAGCCGACCUGAGAGGGUGAUCGGCCACACUGGGACUGAGACACGGCCCAGACUCCUACGGGAGGCAGCAGUAGGGAAUCUUCGGCAAUGGACGGAAGUCUGACCGAGCAACGCCGCGUGAGUGAAGAAGGUUUUCGGAUCGUAAAGCUCUGUUGUAAGAGAAGAACGAGUGUGAGAGUGGAAAGUUCACACUGUGACGGUAUCUUACCAGAAAGGGACGGCUAACUACGUGCCAGCAGCCGCGGUAAUACGUAGGUCCCGAGCGUUGUCCGGAUUUAUUGGGCGUAAGCGGGCGCAGGGGGUUAGAUAAGUCUGAAGUUAAAAGGGGUG